Molecule: non-coding RNA, 135 nt
Organism: Triticum aestivum (bread wheat)
Lineage: Eukaryota; Viridiplantae; Streptophyta; Magnoliopsida; Poales; Poaceae
Source: Rfam
UAUGUACUCCCUCUGUUCCGAAUUAUUUGUCUUAGAUUUGUCUGGAUACGAAGGUAUCUAGCACUAAAAUAAGUCUAGAUACAUCCGUAUCUAGACAAAUUCGAGACAAGUAAUUCGGAACGGAUGGAGUAAUAA